CCUAUAAACAUGUGGGAUAGUAAAUAUAUAUAUUCAGAGUUGCCCUUUUGAUUUGUUACCGAUAAAGCACUGUUUAUUUUUUAACAAAAAAUAAGUAAUAUAAUAUUUUUACCGUCAUAAAUAUGUGCCUUCAAAAAUUCCAACCGUUAGAAUUAUGUAGAAACGUACUUUUAAGAAUCUCCAACAUUCAUCUUCUUCUUUUUUACCAUCACAAAUAAUAUAAUAGGGUUAAAAAGGUCAAUUUAGCUAAUUCACUAAUCAGGAUUUAGUAUUUUAUCUAUGAUUAACUAUAUUUUUCUAACGGAUCCUAAUAAUAGGAGUAUAUUUGAAAGCAUUAGAACUUUUGUAGAGAUAAAUAUAAAAAAUUGAACUUCGUAGUGAUAUAUCUGUUAUUCAAUAUGUUUACAAAGAACAGUAUGCAAUUAACCGAUUAUAAAAAUAGCAUUGAACUCAU
Molecule: long non-coding RNA, 454 nt
Filed under: Ananas comosus (pineapple)
Lineage: Eukaryota; Viridiplantae; Streptophyta; Magnoliopsida; Poales; Bromeliaceae
Description: long non-coding RNA (ACOM_LNC026329)
Source: RNAcentral